RNAcentral lists this ribosomal RNA (255 nucleotides) under uncultured bacterium. RNAcentral describes it as "partial 16S ribosomal RNA". It matches the Rfam family "Bacterial small subunit ribosomal RNA", at positions 524 to 776 of the family's 1533-position model. The record is from RNAcentral.
UACGUAGGCAGCGAGCGUUGUUCGGAAUUACUGGGCGUAAAGGGCGCGUAGGCGGCCUUCUAAGUCGAACGUGAAAUCCCUGGGCUCAACCCAGGAACUGCGUCCGAUACUGGAAGGCUUGAAUCCGGGAGGGGGGUAGCGGAAUUCCCAGUGUAGCGGUGAAAUGCGUAGAUAUUGGGGAGGAACACCAGUGGCGAAGGCGGCUACCUGGACCGGUUCUGACGCUGAGGCGCGAAAGCGUGGGUAGCAAACAGG